CCUACGGGGGGCUGCAGUGGGGAAUAUUGGACAAUGGGCGAAAGCCUGAUCCAGCCAUGCCGCGUGUGUGAAGAAGGCCUUCGGGUUGUAAAGCACUUUCAGUGGGGAAGAAAGCCUUGGGGCUAAUACCCUCGAGGAAGGACAUCACCCACAGAAGAAGCACCGGCUAACUCCGUGCCAGCAGCCGCGGUAAUACGGAGGGUGCGAGCGUUAAUCGGAAUUACUGGGCGUAAAGCGCGCGUAGGCGGUCUGAUAAGCCGGUUGUGAAAGCCCCGGGCUCAACCUGGGAACGGCAUCCGGAACUGUCAGGCUAGAGUGCAGGAGAGGAAGGUAGAAUUCCCGGUGUAGCGGUGAAAUGCGUAGAGAUCGGGAGGAAUACCAGUGGCGAAGGCGGCCUUCUGGACUGACACUGACGCUGAGGUGCGAAAGCGUGGGUAGCAAACAGGAUUAGAUACCCGAGUCGUC
Molecule: ribosomal RNA, 465 nt
Filed under: Vreelandella stevensii
Lineage: Bacteria; Pseudomonadati; Pseudomonadota; Gammaproteobacteria; Oceanospirillales; Halomonadaceae
Description: partial 16S ribosomal RNA
Rfam family: Bacterial small subunit ribosomal RNA
Source: RNAcentral